This 491-nucleotide small RNA is filed under the name Pongo abelii (Sumatran orangutan). RNAcentral's name for it is "processed transcript". Lineage: Eukaryota; Metazoa; Chordata; Mammalia; Primates; Hominidae. The record is from RNAcentral.
AGGAUGGGCCUCGGGCCGGCCCGGCCCUUGGGGAUGGCGGGGAAGGGCGCCCUGCGUCCGGCAGAGGAGGCGAGCAUCCCGCUCAGGUGAUGAGGAACUCCUCGCGUAACCAGUGCAGAAGGCUGCUGCCGCCGGACGCCUCCAUUGUUUGACCACAACAAGGGCCGGAUUCUCACCCAGGAUCCUAAGGCCUUUGUAGUCCUUCAGCCACUGUGGGCCCUGCCUCUGCCUGUUCUUCUGGAAUGUCUUGGGGGUUUUGAUCCUGUCACUGUGACCUGCAAAUCCAAGAGACACAUUUCUGGAAGAUAAGAGAGCUUCUUCAAGACCAAAAAAGGAGACGGCAUGAUACCCACGUAGGGAAUUCCCCAAAGCAAGGCUUGCCAAACCUGGACCCGAGGAGCCUGCUUGCUGGAAAGGCUUUCCUGUCUGAUGUGCAGGAGGCAGAAUGCCAAACUGACUCUUCAAGGGGCAACUGCAGGGGCUCGAGACCA